GCGGGUGUAGUAUAAUGGCAAAAUCCCAGUUUCCCAAAUUGGAGAUGUGGGUUCGAUUCCCAUCACCCGCU
Molecule: transfer RNA, 71 nt
Filed under: Endomicrobium sp.
Lineage: Bacteria; Pseudomonadati; Elusimicrobiota; Endomicrobiia; Endomicrobiales; Endomicrobiaceae
Description: tRNA-Gly
Rfam family: tRNA
About the family: Transfer RNA (tRNA) molecules are approximately 80 nucleotides in length. Their secondary structure includes four short double-helical elements and three loops (D, anti-codon, and T loops).
Source: RNAcentral